This is a long non-coding RNA of Oncorhynchus mykiss (rainbow trout), 1673 nucleotides long. RefSeq lists it as uncharacterized. The record is from RefSeq and is a predicted model, not a curated record. Lineage: Eukaryota; Metazoa; Chordata; Actinopteri; Salmoniformes; Salmonidae.
UCGGUGUAAGCAAUUAUGGUAAUUCAAAAUGCCCUUUAACGAGGUGUCUUCGCUAGACAGACCGAGCGUGGAAGACCGACAGAAAGACAGCAGUGCAAAUGUACUUAGACUUGAGUAUUUCAACAACUCUUCUCUUCCAACUUGUUGGACAAUCAAACGUACCUACGGGGGAAGGGUGGCCAGCCAGACAGGAGGGUGAUUUUUACUAAGGAGGAGAAGGGGGGCCGUGCUGACUGAGAUACAUGCUGGCCAUUUUGGAGUGAAGCGCAUGAUUGCCAAAAUCAACAUACACUUAUUCUGACAGAGAAUUGUAAAGGAGGUGGACAGCUGGGCAAUUGAAAUAACCUUUUGUUUAUGAAACACAUUCUAUAUCUGAAAUUAUGAUUUAAAUUAAUGUUAUAUCAGAGAGCACACAAUGUUUCAAUUUGAAAUGUUUUGCUUAAAGGUCAGCACCCUUUCUAGCCUGUCAGAAGUUUGAGAGGGCGACGACUGUGGCACCGGAAUUGAAGCCCAUCAAAGUUGUUUCACCAUGUGACAUGAUCGGGGUGGACCUCAUCGGACACUUCACGAAAUCUAGGCAUGGCAACAGCUGGUGUCUGAUGGCAACCGAUCACUUUACCAAGUGGAUGGAGGCAAUACCCAUUAAAGUCAGUAAAGGAGGAGUACGUGCUUAACUCUAUAUUCCCUUCUGUAACCCUUAAAAAAGGGUGCUUGGAACCAAAAAUCGAUUUUUGUUUUGUAUGAUACCCAUCAAAGACAAAACUGGCGAGGCCACCUCCAAGGCGAUGACAGACAUCUUAUACACACGGUUCUCCUGAGGUCAUCUUGAGUGACCGAGGUCAUGAACACUGGAACAAGGUUUGGUGAAUGGAUCAACUAGAGCCUCAAGACUGCCAUGGGCAAGUCCCUUGAUUGGUAGCAGAAAGGGUGGGAGAACAACCUGAAGGUAAUUCUCUUUGCACACAGCAACAGCUUCCAGGCCUCCACCGAUUAUGGACGGGAACCGCAGCAGUUGACUGAGAUCACUGAAACUCCACCUGAUGUGGUGGAAGUUGUUGAACCAGAUCAGAACGCCUUCAAGGACCACCUUCAGGCACGGGCUGAGAAGGAUGUGGAGGUUUGACUAGGUGAGACUGAACAUCGACAAGGUGCAGGAGAAACAGGAGAGCGACUGGAACAGAAUCAAGAAGGGGACCAAGUGCUACUACAUCCGGGACCAGACUGGCCGAGCCCCCCAGGAUGUAUCCCAUCCACCAGAACCAGUGAGUUCGGAUCAGUCUGAUUCUCUGUGCCCUGAGCCGGAGGGGGACCAGCUUGAGGAGUUCUGCCUAACACCCAGAUGUGGAUCCACCUGAUCCUCCAUUACCAACCAACUUUUCAUUUACAUCUACUGUUAUUGUCAUUAUCUGCUAAGAGUUUCCUUGCUCUACAUAAUGUGAGAUACACAGAUGCACUGCAAACACUCAGAACAAAGAGAGCAGCAGUGCCUGGACUUUGCAGUCUCCCUCUUCAAGUCCCCCUUCUGAGACUGGCUGCCUGUUGAGAACAAGUGACAGGCAGAACCUCCAACUCACACAGCAACCACCUCCUCAAUAUUCCACACACCAGAAUUCUGUAUUUUAGUCUGAUUGCCAUGUGAGUGUACAAAAAUCUGUGAAAAUAAAUGUCACAAC